RNAcentral lists this ribosomal RNA (775 nucleotides) under uncultured Neocallimastigales. RNAcentral describes it as "partial large subunit ribosomal RNA". It matches the Rfam family "Eukaryotic large subunit ribosomal RNA", at positions 22 to 635 of the family's 3401-position model. Lineage: Eukaryota; Fungi; Neocallimastigomycota; Neocallimastigomycetes; Neocallimastigales. The record is from RNAcentral.
GUACACGCUGUGACUAGCAUAUCAAUAAGCGGAGGAAAAGAAACUAACAAGGAUUCCCCUAGUAACGGCGAGUGAAGCGGGAAGAGCUCAAAUUUGAAAUCUUAAAGGGCUUUCCCUUUACGAAUUGUAGUUUAAAGAAGUGUUUUCUGUUGAGGUUUUGGUAAAAGUUCUUUGGAAUAGGACAUCAUAGAGGGUGAGAAUCCCGUAUUUGACCUUUACUUUCAACUUUGUGAUACACUUUCAAAGAGUCGGAUUGUUUGGGAAUGCAGUCCAAAAUGGGUGGUAAAUUUCAUCUAAAGCUAAAUAUUGGCGAGAGACCGAUAGCGAACAAGUACCGUGAGGGAAAGAUGAAAAGAACUUUGAAAAGAGAGUUAAACAGUACGUGAAAUUGUCAAAAGGGAAGCGUUUGACACCAGUGUUGUUUUUCUGAAAAUCAAUUAAAGAACUGUUUAUGCUAAGUUGUUUAGACUUUAUCAGCUAUCUGUUUAGUUUUGAGCUUUUCUUUAAUGCACUUUUCAGUUAACAAGUCAACAUCAAUUUCUUUUGCUGUAAAAAAGCUUGAGGAAGGUGGCUUGAGAUUCGUCUUAAGUGUUUAUAGCCUCUUGCCUAUGCAGUCGGAGAGAUUGAGGUCUGCAGCGUAGAUCCUUCGGGGCUAAAUGCAUUUGUGCUAAGUUAUAGCAUUUUAUAGACAACUUGUUGACUAUGAUUUGUCUUGUAGCUUACUCGCUUAUGUUAUUUUACCUACGCUUAGGAUGUUGAAGAUGUAGCACAUCAU